This 175-nucleotide ribosomal RNA is filed under the name uncultured Aminobacterium sp. RNAcentral's name for it is "partial 16S ribosomal RNA". It matches the Rfam family "Bacterial small subunit ribosomal RNA", at positions 335 to 524 of the family's 1533-position model. Lineage: Bacteria; Thermotogati; Synergistota; Synergistia; Synergistales; Aminobacteriaceae. The record is from RNAcentral.
ACUCCUACGGGAGGCAGCAGUGGGGAAUAUUGGGCAAUGGGCGAAAGCCUGACCCAGCAACGCCGCGUGAGGGAAGAAGGGUUUCGGCUCGUAAACCUCUGUCCUAUGGGACGAAGGAAGUGACGGUACCAUAGGAGGAAGCCCCGGCUAACUACGUGCCAGCAGCCGCGGUAAU